AGAGUUUGAUCAUGGCUCAGGACGAACGCUGGCGGUAUGCUUAACACAUGCAAGUCGAACGAGAAGCUUUUUAAUGAUCCUUCGGGUGAACUAAGAAGUGGAAAGUGGCGAACGGGUGAGUAACGCGUGGGUAACCUGCCUCAUGGAAAGGAAUAGCCUCGGGAAACUGGGAGUAAAGCCUUAUAUUAUUGAGUUGUCGCAUGGCAAUUCGAUGAAAACUCCGGUGCCAUGAGAUGGACCCGCGUCCCAUUAGCUAGUUGGUGAGAUAACAGCCCACCAAGGCAACGAUGGGUAACCGGUCUGAGAGGGCGAACGGUCACACUGGAACUGAGACACGGUCCAGACUCCUACGGGAGGCAGCAGUGGGGAAUAUUGCGCAAUGGGGGAAACCCUGACGCAGCAAUACCGCGUGAGUGAAGAAGGUUUUCGGAUCGUAAAACUCUUUUAUUGGGGAAGAAGAAGUGACGGUACCCAAUGAAGAAGUCCCGGCUAACUACGUGCCAGCAGCCGCGGUAAUACGUAGGGGACAAGCGUUGUCCGGAAUCACUGGGCGUAAAGGGCGCGUAGGCGGUUUUAUAAGUCAGAUGUGAAAGGUACCGGCUCAACCGGUGACGUGCAUUUGAAACUGUAAGACUUGAGUACUGGAGAGGCAAGUGGAAUUCCUAGUGUAGCGGUGAAAUGCGUAGAUAUUAGGAGGAACACCGGUGGCGAAGGCGGCUUGCUGGACAGAUACUGACGCUGAGGUGCGAAAGCGUGGGGAGCGAACAGGAUUAGAUACCCUGGUAGUCCACGCCGUAAACGAUGAUGACUAGGUGUUGGGGAAACUCAGUGCCGCAGUUAACACAUUAAGUCAUCCGCCUGGGGAGUACGACCGCAAGGUUGAAACUCAAAGGAAUUGACGG
RNAcentral lists this ribosomal RNA (902 nucleotides) under uncultured bacterium. RNAcentral's name for it is "bacterial SSU rRNA". It matches the Rfam family "Bacterial small subunit ribosomal RNA", at positions 8 to 916 of the family's 1533-position model. The record is from RNAcentral.